RNAcentral lists this ribosomal RNA (374 nucleotides) under Candidatus Omnitrophota bacterium. Its description in RNAcentral is "Candidatus Omnitrophica bacterium partial 23S ribosomal RNA". It matches the Rfam family "Bacterial large subunit ribosomal RNA", at positions 2556 to 2925 of the family's 2925-position model. The record is from RNAcentral. Lineage: Bacteria; Pseudomonadati; Candidatus Omnitrophota.
GAGAAGGUCCCAAGGGUCCGGCUGUUCGCCGGUUAAAGCGGUACGCGAGCUGGGUUUAGAACGUCGUGAGACAGUUCGGUCUCUAUCUGCUGUGGGCGUAGGAUAUUUGAGGAGAGUCAUCUUCAGUACGAGAGGACCAGGAUGAACGAACCUCUGGUGUGCCAGCUGUUCCGCCAGGAGCAAAGGCUGGGUAGCCAUGUUCGGAAUGGAUAAGCGCUGAAAGCAUCUAAGCGCCAAGCCAACUCCAAGAUGAGAUAUCCCGGACCAUAAGGUUCCUAAAGGCACCUCGAAGACUACGAGGUUGAUAGGCUCUAGGUGUAAGCACAGUAAUGUGUUCAGCCGAGGAGUACUAAUCUGCCGUGCGGCUUGACCAC